RNAcentral lists this transfer RNA (66 nucleotides) under Echinostoma revolutum. RNAcentral's name for it is "tRNA-Thr". The record is from RNAcentral. Lineage: Eukaryota; Metazoa; Platyhelminthes; Trematoda; Plagiorchiida; Echinostomatidae.
GGAUUGUUAGUUUAUAACUAGAAUUCUGUUUUUGUAAAGCAGGGGAAUCUUUAAUGGUACAGUCCA